This 559-nucleotide ribosomal RNA is filed under the name uncultured bacterium. Its description in RNAcentral is "partial 16S ribosomal RNA". It matches the Rfam family "Bacterial small subunit ribosomal RNA", at positions 355 to 906 of the family's 1533-position model. The record is from RNAcentral.
UGGGGAAUUUUGGACAAUGGGCGAAAGCCUGAUCCAGCAAUGCCGCGUGUGUGAAGAAGGCCUUCGGGUUGUAAAGCACUUUUGUCCGGAAAGAAAUCCUUGGCUCUAAUACAGUCGGGGGAUGACGGUACCGGAAGAAUAAGCACCGGCUAACUACGUGCCAGCAGCCGCGGUAAUACGUAGGGUGCAAGCGUUAAUCGGAAUUACUGGGCGUAAAGCGUGCGCAGGCGGUCUGCUAAGACCGAUGUGAAAUCCCCGGGCUCAACCUGGGAACUGCAUUGGUGACUGGCAGGCUAGAGUAUGGCAGAGGGGGGUAGAAUUCCACGUGUAGCAGUGAAAUGCGUAGAGAUGUGGAGGAAUACCGAUGGCGAAGGCAGCCCCCUGGGCCAAGUACUGACGCUCAUGCACGAAAGCGUGGGGAGCAAACAGGAUUAGAUACCCUGGUAGUCCACGCCCUAAACGAUGUCAACUAGUUGUUGGGGAUUCAUUUCCUUAGUAACGUAGCUAACGCGUGAAGUUGACCGCCUGGGGAGUACGGUCGCAAGAUUAAAACUCAAAU